Chelonia mydas (Green sea turtle) is the source of this 4655-nucleotide long non-coding RNA. RefSeq lists it as uncharacterized. Lineage: Eukaryota; Metazoa; Chordata; Testudines; Cheloniidae. The transcript is spliced from 2 exons. The record is from RefSeq and is a predicted model, not a curated record.
UGGUGAUCAGCUAAACCCUGAGCAUAUGGGCAAGAUUCACCAGCCAGAUACUACAGAAAAUUCUUUCCUGGGUAACUCAGAUCCUACCCCAUCUAACAUCCCAUCCCAUCCCAUAGUUGGUGUGGUGCACUCUGGACAAAAGAGCCAACUAGGUUAAUAACAUUUGUUCUUAUAGUUUUCCAAGAAUGGUGGUUUCCUAUUAUCUUAUCCUCCUUCCUUCCUAUGUUUUAUAGAGCUUGAAAAUUAGGAAGACCAUUAAAAGGGGCCUUGUAAUAGUCAAGCUGAGGAGACAAAGGUAGUGAUGGUUUUAGCACAGGUAGAGCUGAUAGACUCUUACAUGGGCAACGUUGUAGAAAUGCAGCUAGGUUGAUUUGCUAAAAUAGGAGCUGCAGAAGAAGAAGAGAGUGAAGGAUAAUGCCAAGGUUAUAGCCAGAGGCAAAUGGAAGGUCUGAGUUGAAAAGAGGAUAUAAAAUAAAGAACUGGAUUUGAGGAUUACCUUUGUUGCCUCAGGUAACUUUUUAAGAAGUAGUUGAAAGAAAUUGAGAUUACAGUUUAAUUGAUGAGAUCAGGAAGAGAGAAGGUUAAAAGGGCUGAGUAUUAAAAAUACCAAAAUAUACAGAACUGAGUAUCAUCAUGUAAAAAUGACAGAAAGACAAAGGAAGGGGACAUAAUAUAAUCAAGCAUAAGAAAUUGUGCGGAAACCAGAUUCAAGAAUGAAACCUUUUCGGUUGCCUUAGAAGAGGGGGCCUUGUGCAGAGGCAGAGCUACUACCAAGCGGAUGGAGGAGUUUGAUAUGUGGAAUCAAACAUCCAAGAAGAGAAAAAAAAAUCAUGGCUGCAGAACUAAGGAGAUAGUGAAUACUCCACAAGGCGGAAGGCUGCAAUGAUGUCCAAGAGAAUGAGUGUGAGGGAGAAAAAGCCAUUUUGAGUAUGAACAGUAUUUGCUCUUUUAGCUAUAUAAUGGUGUUGUGACUGAUACUUUAAUUCUGAAAUAUCAACCAAAAUAAACCUAAUGGCAUGCUGAAGAUGAAAUCCUGCUUUCUGGUUAGUUAACUGUUAGGAAAAGAAAGUAGCCAAGAUUAUAGCAGUAGCAAACACCACAUCAAAUUAACACACAAAGAGUUAAUUUUUAAACAUUUUUAUAUUCUCAGAAUAAUAAAUAGGGGAGCAUGUUUUCUGGCAGCUGAUGACAGGCUGGGAUAGUGGCCAUUAUUUUGCCUAGAAAAUAUGCAAUCAAGCUUUAUUCACAUUAAUUUGACAUUCUAAUAAAUAUAGCUAACCUCCAAACUGCUGUGAAAAUGUCCUGUAUCUUUUUGAGAGACAAAAUGGGUGAGGUAAUAUUUAUUGGACCAACUCCUGUUGGUGAGAGAGAGACAAGACGAAAACACAAGGUCCAAUAAAAGAUAUUACCUCACUUACCUUGUCUCUCUCUAAUAUCCUGGGACCGAUAUGGCUACAACUACAUUGUUUUUCUUAGACAUCUUAGCCUUUUCCUUUGGCAAAAAAUGCAUAUUACACAAGCAAGAGGACAUUUUUAUUUAUUACUGUUAUUUUUACAACACACUCAAUGUAUUGUGUGCUUUACAGAAACAAAAGCCUUGUCUGUAUUAAAAAUUGCUCCAGUUUUACUAAAGGUAAAUCAGCUUAGUUAAACCAGUGCAAACCUGUGUGGUUUGUGCUGGUUUAAAUAAAUCCACUUAGAAGCAUCUCUUUAGUGAAACCUAUGCAACUUUUAAUACAGACAAGAUCUAAUAAAAAGAUAUGGUCCUUGAUUCAGAAAAUUAUCAUUUAAAACCCCAAUCUUGUAAGGUCUUAUGCAUGUGCAUUAGAUCACUCACUCAGUAGUCCCAGAGAUUUCAAUAGGGACUAGUCACAUGAGUCAAUUGUGCACAUGCUUAAGUCUUUGCUAGGUUGGGGCUUAAAUUUUGACAAGACUCAGCUUAGGCAUGUUAACAUUUUGAUGAUUCAAUAAUUAUUUUUGGUAGCCUGUUUUUGUUUUUAUUAUAUUUAACACCAGGUUUAAAACUCUGGGCCUAAUUCUCUUCUCUCUUAUACCAGCAUUGGUGCUGCUGAGUGGGGGACAGUAGUUAAAGGUCUCUGGAAACUAACAAUCUCUCAAUCUUUAUAAAAAAAAAUUUGCCUGUUGGUAGGGAACUCCAUCAAAUGUCCAUCAGGCAUGCUAGAGAUUGCAGCACUGUGGUUGAUAUUUUAUCAUUAUUUCAUAAAAGAAUGCUUAAAAAUAAAAAGUAUAUUAAUUGAAUGUGAUUUUAAAAUGUCAAGGCCUGUAUUUAUAGAGGAAAGUAUGUGAGUAAAAAAUGAGUCCAUAUCUUCCGUGUUAGUGUUUGUUUGGAUAGAAUGCUAGUCCUAUCCUUUAAAAUCGCUGAAACAGCAUAUUUUGUUCAAAGGGUGAGGGGGAUGCAGUUAAAUUAGAGACAAUGUAAAGCUCUCACAUGCUGAGGUGAUUUUAAAAUUAUUUAAAUAAUACAGAACUUCAGCAGACAUAUUUUCUGUAGUCUAGUGUCGCUCACAAUUCUGAGACAUCUGGGCUGCUCCUCUCCAGGCUGCAGCUCACAGAGGCGGGCCAAAGUUGCAGUGCUACAUGCACUGACCACGUGUCCUGCUCCUGCUUGCCGCCAGAUUCUCUGCCUCCGUGGCAGCAGUCAGUUGGCAAGUUUAGUUGCUACUGUUUCUUUUGUUCCCCUGGCUGUUUUUCUUGCCUGUUUUCAGCAGUGGCUAGCAGAUCUUUUUCUUAACCCUUUCUUCUCCUCUCUGGGUCAAAUUUCAUUGGCUUAAUGAGUAAUCUAUCUGGAGCUGCUGGCCACAUGCCAGUUAUACAUAGUUGUGUUCCCACUGAAGUUACUAAUAUCUUUCUAUGAGUUCUAUGCAGCAUUGGAAUGACUCAUCUGGCACCAAGCUGGGGGGAAGAGGGGUGGCCAGCACAUGCAGCACGGCAACUUUGGACCCCCUUUGACAGCUGCAGUGUGGAGAGGAGAUGUCUUGUGGGAGAUGCUAGCAGAAAGGAGAUUAUUGGCUGGUUCCUUCAAGUGGAUGCACAUACAGCAGUUACAACUCUGGACUGGUAGGAAAAGGCAAAGCUCUCCCUAAUGCUGAUUUUGAGAGUCUCAAUCGGGAAGGAAAAUUAUGGGAUGAAAUCUUGGCCUUACUGAAGUCAAUGGAACCAAUAUUUCACCCUUGGUUACCAUAUCCUUUUCUGAAGAUGCAAAUCACUUGAGCUAGAUUGACACUGGUCCUGAUCUGGCAACCUUAUCUGAUCACAAUGUGUCUACUGACAUAAGCGUAGGCUGCAAUUACAAGUGUGGCUUUGCAAACUCAGUCCCCUUAUGUUGAUUGGAGUUUUUACAAAUGUCCAGUUAAUGUAAUUUCAUGCAAUGUAACAUACCAUCUAGUGCCAAAAAGAAGAAUAAAGUUACCACUAGAAAAUAUAUACUUUAAUUUAAUAUUUCUUGAAACAUUUUUUUUCAACCAGCUCUAGAAAUUAUCCUCAGGAUUUUACCAUCAGAACUGGUCAAUUUGGCAAAAUUAAAAAGUGUUUGUGGACAAUGUUGUUUGUCUUGGAACUGAAGACCCUAGAGCUUCUGUGGGCUCAGCUCCUUAGCAGGCAGAGUAUCCUGGAACCAGAGUUCCAUUCCUUUUCACAGAGAAUUUCUAAAUAUUUGGGGUUUAUUCCAAAUAAGAAUGAAACCCAAUUUUGAAAUAUCAAAAUCUUCCACAAAAUGAAAUAUCCCGUUUUUGCACAGCUGUAAUAAUUUCACCCAAAUUUCAAACAUUAAAAUGCAGUAAACACUGGUUUUCUGUUAUCCCAAACUGGAUUAGUCACAUUUAUAUUUUCUGCAGACUUCUAAAAUAACGACGUUCUUUUGUGAUCAGUAAGGCCAAGAAAGUGCUUUGAUUUCACAUGUAAUCAUUCCAGAACUUAGUUGUGCCACAAACUGUACACCCUGCUGGAGUAAAUUUAAAAAAAAAGGAUCUCAAAGAUAGCAGCUUAAAAACUCUGCAGUUAUGAUUUCAAAAAUUCUUUCCUUACACAGCAGAAAUACGUUGAUCCUUAUUUGGCAUAAUCACCAUUCUAAAUAUAUUGCUGUUCAACUUGGCUUUUAACAGAGAGCUGAAGGAUACAGUUGCUUUUUGUUUGCCUACCCGAGGCUGAUAUGACAGCUUUCAUGUAUCUGAAAUUGCAUCCCUUUAUAUCAGGGGUUCUCAAACCGGGGGUCCUGAGGUUAUUACAUGGGGGGUUGCCUCCAGUAUUUAUAAUGGUGUUAAACAUAUAAAAAAAAGUGUUUUUAAUUUAAUAGGGGGGUUGCACUCAGAGGCUAUGUGAAAGGGAUCACCAGUACAAAAGUUUGAGGACCACUGCUUUAUAUAAUAAUUAAAACGUGCACAAUACACAAACCCCUGUUAACAUAGAGGGUUUUUUUUAAAAUAUAUGUUUAUCAGAACAAAUGGUUUGCUGGGGAUUUUGGACUAGUUCUCUGGCUUCUCAUGCAUAUUAGAAGUGUAAUCUAGAUCUAGAAGAUAGUGUUCAGGAGACUAACAAGAGCUGCACUGCUGCAGCAAGACAAAGUUGCAAUCUAUUGUCAUGAAAAAUACAACAUGUUGUCUGAUCAACCAUUAAAAAAAAAUCUCAUAUGUUGCAAA